This 253-nucleotide unclassified non-coding RNA is filed under the name uncultured Nocardioidaceae bacterium. RNAcentral describes it as "contains 16S-23S intergenic spacer region". It matches the Rfam family "Bacterial small subunit ribosomal RNA", at positions 524 to 776 of the family's 1533-position model. The record is from RNAcentral. Lineage: Bacteria; Bacillati; Actinomycetota; Actinomycetes; Propionibacteriales; Nocardioidaceae.
UACGUAGGUGGCAAGCGUUGUCCGGAAUCAUUGGGCGUAAAGGGGACGUAGGCGGUUUGUCGCGUCGGGAGUGAAAACUCAGGGCUUAACCCUGAGCCUGCUUCCGAUACGGGCAGACUAGAGGUAUGCAGGGGAGAACGGAAUUCCUGGUGUAGCGGUGAAAUGCGCAGAUAUCAGGAGGAACACCGGUGGCGAAGGCGGUUCUCUGGGCAUUACCUGACGCUGAGGAGCGAAAGUGUGGGGAUCAAACAGG